GAGAAACGGUGACAUGAAGAAUGAGAAGUUGUGUGGUAGCCAAGGAUGACUUGCCUGCGUCUUUAACACCAUAUCAAAGACUUUAUCGAUAGUCUCUGAGUUGGUUAGGCUGUAGGCAGUCUCCUUGGCUAUUCAGACACUCCUCUUUCUCCUCAUUUCACAUUUCUC
Molecule: microRNA precursor, 168 nt
Filed under: Brassica napus (rape)
Lineage: Eukaryota; Viridiplantae; Streptophyta; Magnoliopsida; Brassicales; Brassicaceae
Source: RNAcentral